AUCCGCUCACCAUUUGUAACUCUCUCUCUCUCUCUCUCUCUCUCUCUCUCUCUCUCUCUUAACACAAACCUAAAAACUCUCCUUUCGUC
Molecule: small RNA, 89 nt
Filed under: Arabidopsis thaliana (thale cress)
Lineage: Eukaryota; Viridiplantae; Streptophyta; Magnoliopsida; Brassicales; Brassicaceae
Description: ATSL074990
Source: RNAcentral